This 119-nucleotide ribosomal RNA is filed under the name Pteropus alecto (black flying fox). The record is from RNAcentral. Lineage: Eukaryota; Metazoa; Chordata; Mammalia; Chiroptera; Pteropodidae.
GUCUACUACCAUACUACCCUGAACAAGCCUGAUCCCAUCUGAUCUCAGAAGCUAAUCAGGGUCGGGCCUAGUUAGUACUUGGAUAGGAGACCACCUAGGAAGACCAGGUGCUGUAGGUG